RNAcentral lists this transfer RNA (76 nucleotides) under Bacillus subtilis BSn5. RNAcentral describes it as "tRNA-Phe (GAA) (tRNA-Phe-GAA-4-1)". It matches the Rfam family "tRNA". From Rfam's summary of the family: Transfer RNA (tRNA) molecules are approximately 80 nucleotides in length. The record is from RNAcentral. Lineage: Bacteria; Bacillati; Bacillota; Bacilli; Caryophanales; Bacillaceae.
GGCUCGGUAGCUCAGUGGGUAAAGCAACGGACUGAAAAUCCGUGUGUCGGCGGUUCGAUUCCGUCCCGAGCCACCA